This 253-nucleotide ribosomal RNA is filed under the name uncultured bacterium. RNAcentral describes it as "partial 16S ribosomal RNA". It matches the Rfam family "Bacterial small subunit ribosomal RNA", at positions 524 to 776 of the family's 1533-position model. The record is from RNAcentral.
UACGUAGGGGGCGAGCGUUGUCCGGAAUCAUUGGGCGUAAAGCGCGUGUAGGCGGCCCGGUAAGUCCGCUGUGAAAGUCCAGGGCUCAACCCUGGGAUGCCGGUGGAUACUGUCGGGCUCGAGUCCGGAAGAGGCGAGUGGAAUUCCUGGUGUAGCGGUGAAAUGCGCAGAUAUCAGGAAGAACACCCGUGGCGAAGGCGGUUCUCUGGGACGGUACUGACGCUGAGACGCGAAAGCGUGGGGAGCGAACAGG